UCCACGCCGUAAACGAUGAGCACUAGGUGUGGGGGAGAUUAUCUCCUCCGUGCCGCAGCUAACGCAUUAAGUGCUCCGCCUGGGGAGUACGGCCGCAAGGUUAAAACUCAAAGGAAUUGACGGGGGCCCGCACAAGCGGUGGAGCAUGUGGUUUAAUUCGAUGCUACGCGAAGAAUCUUACCUGGGCUUGACAUCCCCGGAACCCUGCCGAAAGGCGGGGGUGCCCCUUCGGG
This 233-nucleotide ribosomal RNA is filed under the name uncultured bacterium. RNAcentral describes it as "partial 16S ribosomal RNA". It matches the Rfam family "Bacterial small subunit ribosomal RNA", at positions 794 to 1025 of the family's 1533-position model. The record is from RNAcentral.